This 74-nucleotide transfer RNA is filed under the name Spirochaeta dissipatitropha. Its description in RNAcentral is "tRNA-Met". It matches the Rfam family "tRNA". From Rfam's summary of the family: Transfer RNA (tRNA) molecules are approximately 80 nucleotides in length. Their secondary structure includes four short double-helical elements and three loops (D, anti-codon, and T loops). Further hydrogen bonds mediate the characteristic L-shaped molecular structure. tRNAs have two regions of fundamental functional importance: the anti-codon, which is responsible for specific mRNA codon recognition, and the 3' end, to which the tRNAs corresponding amino acid is attached (by aminoacyl-tRNA synthetases). tRNAs cope with the degeneracy of the genetic code in two manners: having more than one tRNA (with a specific anti-codon) for a particular amino acid; and 'wobble' base-pairing, i.e. permitting non-standard base-pairing at the 3rd anti-codon position. The record is from RNAcentral. Lineage: Bacteria; Pseudomonadati; Spirochaetota; Spirochaetia; Spirochaetales; Spirochaetaceae. RNAcentral also lists the same sequence under 6 other names.
GGGCCUAUAGCUCAGUUGGUUAGAGCAACGGACUCAUAAUCCGUGGGUCCCAGGUUCAAGUCCUGGUGGGCCCA